GGGCCGUUAGCUCAGCUGGUAGAGCGCUUCGAUGGCAUCGAAGAGGUCACCGGUUCAAGUCCGGUACGGUCCACCA
This 76-nucleotide transfer RNA is filed under the name bacterium. RNAcentral describes it as "tRNA-Ala". It matches the Rfam family "tRNA". Rfam says of the family: Transfer RNA (tRNA) molecules are approximately 80 nucleotides in length. The record is from RNAcentral.